Molecule: long non-coding RNA, 1303 nt
Filed under: Portunus trituberculatus (swimming crab)
Lineage: Eukaryota; Metazoa; Arthropoda; Malacostraca; Decapoda; Portunidae
Description: uncharacterized LOC123513425, transcript variant X10
Source: RNAcentral
GUGUGUGUUUGUGUGAGUGUGUGUGCGCGUGCGUUUGUGUGUUUGUCUUCGUUAUCAAGGGGGAGCCCACCCACCUUACCCAACCCAACACUCGCUCCCAACCGAAGGAUGGGUUUGUGGUAGGGUGGGUGGUUGUGGUUGUAGUUGUGUGUGUGUGUUUGUGUGAGUGUGUGUGCGCGUGCGUUUGUGUGUUUGUCUUCGUUAUCAAGGGGGAGCCCACCCACCUGACCCAACCCAACACUCGCUCCCAACCGAAGGAUGGGUUUGUGGUAGGGUGGGUGGUUGUGGUUGUAGUUGUGUGUGUGUGUGUGUGUGUGUGUGUGUGUGUGUGUGUGUGUGUGUGUGUGUGUGUGUGUGCGUGCGUGUGUGUGUUUGUGUGUGUGUAAUAAUAAUAGUAAUAAAGGGUUUAUUGAGACAAGCAGCUCUGUAGCUGAAAAUAAACAUUUUACAGGAGAAAUAUCCUAAUAUUACAUGCUUAAAAUUCAUCACAAAUUUAGUCAGUGUCCACGAGUUAAUUAUUUUGAUUAUUGUGGGCACUGCACUAUUUUUGUAUGUGUGUAUCCGGGCCGGGCACGUAUGGGGAGCGGCUUCUGGUGGCGGACACUGUCGCUGGGAGGGGGAGCUGCCGGAGGGAGUAGGCUCCUGUGGCGCCAGUGGAGAAGCUUUGUGGGAAGCUGGUGGAGGAGGUGUUGGUAGCGAGUGUGAAGGGUGGUGAGGUGUAGGGUGUGGAGGGCCUCCUGGCUCAGGCGUGUAGAUGGGAGCAGGAGAAGAAAGAACAAAGGAAGAGGACGAAGAAGAAAGGAAAAAUGGAAGUGGAAGAAGAGGAGGAGCCAAGCCACAAUAUUUAGGUCCGCAGAAAACGACACGCUGAUUUAUUUGAAGUCAAGGAUGGAGAUUAAAACGGCCUUUAAAAACACCACACCCGUUUUGUCCACCGCCAUCACCACCUUCUCCCAGAUCAAGGAAGUGUAUUACGGACUCACACAAAAGGAAGAGGCGAGUACCCGUAUCACAGGUCACACCGUGGGACUGACACCGCUGCAGCAACCCUUCGGAAUAAAGUCAAGUACAAAUUACGGUUUGCUAGGCGUUAGGUGUUAGGCAUAGGGCGAUAGGCGGCGCGGCUAACCAUUCUCUUCCAGGUACAUGUUAAUUAUCUAGUCUUCUUCAGUAAUGCCCUGGUUACUUUUGGCUAAAAUAAGCGUCUUGUGUGUGUGUGUGUGUGUGUGUGUGUGUGUGUGUGUGUGUAUAUGUAUUUACCUAGUUGUAGUUUUACAGGGCCUGGGAUUUAUGUUCGUGUGGC